CUCGAAAAGACCGAACGGCGUGGUAACAGCCGUCUUGUGAACGUCGUCGGCGCGAUCGGCACUUGAUGGUACGGUCGAAAGGACCCGUCCUUUUUUGGCACGAGUAACAACGGACUAGCCCACGCACUCGAAGAUGGUCGGCAGAUGUUUGGCUUCCACAUAAUUUUUACAUAUUUUUUCUUUUUUAUUUAUUAUACCAACAACUCGUAACCAAGUU
Molecule: non-coding RNA, 217 nt
Organism: Cinara cedri
Lineage: Eukaryota; Metazoa; Arthropoda; Insecta; Hemiptera; Aphididae
Source: the annotation of a GenBank genome assembly